CAUAAUCUCUAUGGAGAGAAGCAGGGGAUCGCAAGACCUUGCGCUUUUGGAGCGGCCGAUGUCUGAUUAGCUAGUUGGUGAGGUAAAGGCUUACCAAGGCUUCGAUCAGUAGCUGGUCUGAGAGGACGACCAGCCACACUGGGACUGAGACACGGCCCAGACUCCUACGGGAGGCAGCAGUGGGGAAUUUUGGACAAUGGGGGAAACCCUGAUCCAGCCAUGCCGCGUGAGUGAAGAAGGCCUUCGGGUUGUAAAGCUCUUUCAGCCGGAACGAAACGGUCACGGCUAAUACCUGUGAUCACUGACGGUACCGGAAGAAGAAG
This 323-nucleotide ribosomal RNA is filed under the name Nitrosospira sp. RNAcentral's name for it is "bacterial SSU rRNA". It matches the Rfam family "Bacterial small subunit ribosomal RNA", at positions 172 to 490 of the family's 1533-position model. The record is from RNAcentral. Lineage: Bacteria; Pseudomonadati; Pseudomonadota; Betaproteobacteria; Nitrosomonadales; Nitrosomonadaceae.